This 269-nucleotide unclassified non-coding RNA is filed under the name plant metagenome. Its description in RNAcentral is "partial contains small subunit ribosomal RNA, internal transcribed spacer 1, and 5.8S ribosomal RNA". The stretch from base 221 to 269 matches the Rfam family "5.8S ribosomal RNA", at positions 1 to 49 of the family's 154-position model. The record is from RNAcentral.
UUUCCGUAGGUGAACCUGCGGAAGGAUCAUUAAUGUAACCGGACCGGUCCUCUGCCGUCAAACGCAGCGGAUGGGAAUGGGAGAUAUCUUACACCCCUAUGUUUAUUUACUUUUGUUGCUUUGGCGGGCCGUCCUUUUAGGCGUCGGCCCCGGCUGAUCGCGCCCGCCAGAGGACCCAAACUCUUUUAUCAGUGAUGUCUGAGUACUAUAUAAUAGUUAAAACUUUCAACAACGGAUCUCUUGGUUCUGGCAUCGAUGAAGAGCGCAGC